RNAcentral lists this long non-coding RNA (28382 nucleotides) under Citrus sinensis (sweet orange). RNAcentral's name for it is "long non-coding RNA (CSIN_LNC004959)". Lineage: Eukaryota; Viridiplantae; Streptophyta; Magnoliopsida; Sapindales; Rutaceae. The record is from RNAcentral.
AAAUCGAAGCUUUCUGCUCAAGAAAGCGCAUUCCAUAAAUCACUAUAAAUUCAGAAACAUGUGUAAUGAGUUAUCAGCUAUACUCAGGAUCGACCAAAAAACCUGAUAUUCAAAUUCAAUCUAAGAAUUAUCAUGGCUGAAGUGAAGCUUCAUGGGGCAGUACUGCCGAGUCCAUUUGUUUACAGGGUGAUUUGGGCUCUGAAAUUGAAAGGCGUGCCAUAUGAAUUUGUUGCAGAAGAUCUCUCAAACAAAAGUGCUUCGCUUUUGAAGUACAAUCCAGUUCACAAGAAGAUCCCAGUGCUUGUCCAUGGCGGAAAACCAGUUUGUGAGUCCAUGGUUAUUCUCGAAUACAUCGAAGAGACGUGGCCACAGAAUCCCUUGAUGCCAAACAAUCCUUAUGAUAGAGCUCUUGCUCGAUUCUGGAUUAAAUUCGCCGAAGACAAGGUUUGCUCACAACACUAGCAAACACGUUUGUAAUUAAGUUCAUUCUUUUCAAAUUUAUUUUUUUUAUUUUUUUAUUUUAAGAUCUAGAUUAGGUGACGAGGAUAAUGAAACCCACCCACCAAACACUAAAUCUUACUCUCCAUAUAUACUCGAACUCGGGUGAUGGCGGAAGUGAAUUCAUAGCCAGUUGAGCCCAGCCACCCAGGGGUCUCCUUCAUAUUUAUUUGUAAAAAGUUCUCUGUAACUUUCAAUUUCUGAUGUCUUCACUGUUUUAUCCUUAAAUAUGAAAAGAUGUAAUAAGUUAAAGUUAACACAACCUUUUUUAACUUCACGGGGAAUUUUGAUGACUUUUGAAGCAUUGGGAAAAAGUGAAUUUACUAGAACGACAGAUUUUGCAACUCAGUGGUUGAACUCUUAAUUAACUUAUUAAACCUCUAAUUAAAAGAUAUUGUGACAUGUGUGCAUAUUGUCUAACAAUUUUUCACUUUUAUAUACAUAUUAUUAAUUAAUCAUGUCGGUGAUAAAAUCAGAUGUAAAAUAUUUGUGGCAGGGUGUUGCUGUUUGGAAAAUGUUUCGAAGCACUGGACAAGAACUACAAAACACAAUGAAGGAAGCCUUGGAAAUGCUACAAACCAUUGAAGAGCAUGGCUUGGGAGAGAAGAAAUUUUUCAAUGGAGACAAUAUUGGCUUAGUGGACCUAGCGUUUGGUUCAAUUGUUUAUUGGUUGCAAGUCAUUGAAGAUAUAGUGGGAGCUAAACUAUUUGAAUCACACAAAUUCCCUCGCUUGCAUGCCUGGAUUGAAACUUUCAAGCAAGUCACUUUGAUUGAAGAAAAUCUUCCUAAUCAGGAUGAACUAUUGGUUGCUCUCAAACUUCGUCGUGAACAGUUGAUGGCUUCUGCUUGAAUGCAGGCGUCUUGAAUGCUUAUUCUUUGCGCUAGACAAGCAAAGUUAUGGAUAUGAAUAAUAAAAUAAGGGACUCGAUUUGUCUAUAUAUUAACUUCUAUCUUUCUCUUAACAAUAUUCAAAAAAAUAAAUAGAAAAUUAUAAGAGUAAAACAUUAAACAUUUAUAUAUCUAAUUUGAGGGUGAUAAUAUUUCCACCCUAUUAUUUUUUAGACACAUCCCACAUCCAAGGGUUGUGUUUUUUGUUGUGUGCAUCCAAGGGUUGUGUUUUUUGUUAAUUAUAAGAGUAAAACAUUAAACAUUUAUAUAUCUAAUUGGAGGGUGAUAAUAUUUCCACCCUAUUAUUUUUUAGACACAUCCCACAUCCAAGGGUUGUGUUUUUUGUUUUGUGUGAAAAUAAACUUUUUUCUUUUACAGAUGUUAUAAUUGUAUUGAUAUAUUUAUAAUCAUAUUUCUAUUGGGACUCAUUUAAAUCAAAGUCCAAAAUUUUACCAUCAAUCCCUAAUUAAUGUUACUACUUCUAACUAUUCAAAUCGGGUCCAGCGUUAGUGCAGCGACGGCCUUGAGGGUGGUGGUUUGUUCUUCUUUAGUUGUUGGCACAAGAUAUUACAUGGCUUGAGGUUUUCUCGUUGGCACGUUGCUGCUCCAACACUUGGCUUUUGUUAUAUUUUUUUCUUUUGUAAAUUGCUAAACGACGUAGGUUUAGGUUUAACUGUUAUAAUUUAUAAUUUUAGUAACGGUGUUGUCUUUUAAUAGAUAGGAGCCAAAUAAUCUAGAAAUUAAAUUGUUGAGUGAGACAAUGAGCCAUAACAUAGAAUCAGUGAACUUUAGGGUCUCCAAGUAUCCUUUGUCCGAAAUUAUUAACUAUUAAUUUAAAUGUUUGAAAAUCUUAAUACAUUUCACAUUUUGAGCUAGGUUUGUUCAUACGUGGACAAUCAUCUGUGAUUCCUAACAUUUUAGAUGAUAUUAUUUAUCAAGAAAGUCUUAGGUAUUCUCAGGCACCUCAUUAUUAUACUAGCAUGAACAAUACUCCCACCCAAUCAAAAUUUUGUGUUGUUUAAUUAGCAUCUCUUUUUGCUUGUAUUUCUAUGUUGUCAAGGAACUUCAAAUGUUUUGUUAAGCUUUUACGUUAUAUGUUAAAUUUACAACCUGUUUGAUGUUUCACCUUGAUGACCUAGGUUUGAUUCCUGACUUUUUUUUUAACCACAAAAAAGGUGGGGUUAAGUGGGACCCCUACAUUUCAUAUAAAUCAUAGAAUGAAUCAAAUACAUAAGGAGGUGAAUAUAAAUCAAAACCACAAUUGCAAGAACAUAAGAAUGGAAAAGAGAAAAAUACAAGAUAAAAAAUAGAACCCAAAAAUAAGCAAUCGUAUGACCUGAUAUGAGAAAUUACCCACAAUUCAAACAAAGAUUAUUAGAUAGGAGAGAUAUCUUGAGAACCUAAGAAACGCCGAUGAACUUGAAGAGUGCAGGCCAAAGAAAUCAGCAGUAGAAGUUGCCUUCUGAAGCACAUGACUAACCACGAAGUAGAAGAAAAUGUCAAACUACACACUCGAUGCAAAGAAUAGGUAUAGUCCGAAUGAACAAGGCCUUGGAAAAGAAUCCAAGAAGCCACCAUGGCUCAGUCUGACUCUACGUUAAGCACAUAAUAAUGGAGCUGAGCACCAACUCUAACCCCUCAAAAACAGCCAUGAAUUAUGCAUGAAAGUUCAGUUAGCGCCCAAGGAAGGAACCAAAAGCAGCCAAAGCCACACCCCGAUGAUCACGUAAACUACUAUCUGAAGCAGCCAUCCUAGGAUUACUUCUAAAGCAACCAUCAAUAGUCAGCUUAACCGCCCCAGGUGGUGACCACAGCCAAAAAAUUAAAAGAAUCAACCUCCUGGAUGAAAUAACAACUCUCAAGCACUUUGCAAACCGAGAACCUAGAACUCCUCACAGUUGGGAUGGUUUAAGACCAAAGGCAGAACCAGCAAGCCUAAGAUCCAACAUUGCCCGAUAAAUAACGGCAUCAACAAAAAACGCCAUUGAGUCAAACUUCAAUGCAUUACAGGCCUUCUAAACUUGCCACAAAAUGAAACAAGGAAGAAGAACUCAAAUAUGGCUCCAAGAAAGGGCACAUCACUACCAAUUAAGAAAUAAAGUACGGGGGAACAUAAAAGCAACUUAGCGCAAAUCAAGAGUACAUAGAAAAUGGACCCAAACUGGCCUAACUCGAGGGCAAUCAAGAAAUAAAAUACCUAGAAGUCUCAGAAGCCUAACCAUAAAGAUACUAAGAAACUAUGCAUAAAUCCCCCAAACACGAGGCAUCAUCUGUGGUCAAGAAUUUGUGUCACAACCUCUAGAGAAAAAAGGAUAUUUAGGAAAAGAUAUGUCGUUGCCAAAUAACAAAAAAAACCUCAUCACUUGGUAUUGUCCAAUGCACAAUAUUUGAAGCAGUCCUCAAAGAAAAACUACCAUCAGGAGAAAGGUCCCACAGAAUCACAUCUGGUUCUCCACUAGAGAUAGGAAUUAAAAGAAUAUGCACAACAAUUAAAAAGGGCAGCACAUCCUGAAGUUUACCCCUAUCUCAUAUUGUAUCUUGCCAAUAAAAAGAAAUUGGCACCAGAUAAGCCACCACGGGAUUAUAAAAGGCCAAAGGACAAGAGCCUAGCCAACAAUCAUACCAAAAACAACCCUCGGCCAAACAACCAACACACAUGAAGCUCAACAACAUAUUGAAUCAAGCAAAGGUGCCUCCAAAGAGGGUAGGCGGGAUAUCAAAACUAAACCAUACUCGGAUGUGCAGCUCUACAAUACUUGGACUUCAUAAAAGAAGCCCAUAAUGAAAGCUGCUCCUGAAAAAGACCAUACCAUUAAAAGACAGGCUUAAUUUUAAUUAAAUUAAGUCAAAGCUUAAGCUCAAAAGCCUUAACCAUAUCAUUAAAAGACUGGAUACUCAGGCAGCCCUCCUCAAUUGGAUAACAAACUGCCAUCCAUCCACAACAGCGAAUCUAUCGUCUAGUCUCAGAGUCACCCCAUAAGAACUGGGUGAAAAGUCUCUCUAAGUGCACAACAACUAUUGGUGGGCAGUCCUGACCUUCUACAUGAAAAUAUCGAGAAAGUCUUGGGUAUUAUCGGGCAACUCAUCAUUAUGCUAGCAUGAUCAAUAAUCCCACCCAAUGAAAAUUUCGGGCUGUAUUCUUUGGCAUCUCUUUUUGCUUGUAUUUCUAUGUUAUCAAGCAAUUUCAAAUUUUUUUUAAGCUUUUACGUUCAUGUGUUAGAUUUACAAGCUUUAUGAUGUUUCACCUUGCUGAAGUGAAAAUUAAACUUAAUUUAUAUUGAAAUUAUCUAGAAGCUUCAAUUUUUAAAUAAUAUUACUUAUUAUGCAUUGUAGAUAAAAAAAAAAAAAAAGGAUUCGCAAUAAGUACAUGAAUGAUGCGUUGAUUUUAACCAUGCUAUCAAACAAAAAUGAAAAGAAGUAUUUGUGUUUCAAUGGUAUAGUCAAAGACAGCAGCUCGGCAACCUAACUUGCUGGGCACCCACCUGAUUGAUGCCUUGAUUUUAACCGUGCUAUCAAACAAGAAUGAAAAGAAGUAUUUGUACUUCAAAGGUACAGUCAAAGACAGCGGCUGGGCAACCUGACUUGCUGCGCACCUUCCUGAUUGAUGCCUUGAUUUUAACCGUACUAUCAAACAAGAAUAAAAAGAAGUAUUUGUGCUUCAAAGGUAUCGCCAAAGACAGCAACGUGCAACUUGACUUGCUGGGCACCCAAGCUCUCUAAUACAAGUGAUCCAUGAUCGUCAUGCAUGACGCAAAUAUAUUAUUUUGGGAAAGAAAUGCCUAUUGUAUAAUUGAUGCACGGGUAUCUGAGUAGUUGACCAAAUUAAUGAUCUCAUUAGCUGGCCUUUUUAAUUAAUCAAAACAUAGAUGUAAUUUGAAAAUUAAUAAAAUAGAUGUAAUUUGAAAAUUAAUAAAAACAUGACUCCUUUUUUAAAUUAAAAAUAGGAUCACUUGUUAAUUCAACAUUGUUGAAGAGUAUGAGAGGGGGAAAAAGAAAGAAAGAAAGAGAGGAUCUUAUCCAUAUUAUUUAUAUAUAUUGGGGCAGGGUGGAGCUGUUUUUUAACCACUGGACAAGAACAAUAUUGGCUUAGUGGACCUAGCGUUUGGAUGGGUUGCAAGUCCUUCAAAGGUAUAGUGCUGGUUUAGUAUUAGGUUAUUUAAUGGUCAUAUAUAUUUAUUUAAUUUUAAAAAAAAAUUUCAAAAUUUUUGUUAUUCUUUGGUUUUAUUUUGAAUUUAGCUUUUGGGAUUAAAUAAAUUAUUUUGACUCUAUUAGAAAAAAUUUAAAUUUUGAGUUUUUUGGAGUAGAGAUUAGAAAGUUUUUUUAAAUGAUUAAAUUAUCUAAUAUGCCCAUUAUUUAUUUUAUAUUCUUAUUUUAUUCGUAUCCAUUUCACAACAUAACUUAGAAAACUUGUACAUUAAAAUAAAUUGAUAAUUUUUAAUAAAAUCUCUUUUGACAACUGAUGAACUAAACAAUUUUUUUUUUGGAUAAAAGAUCUAUUUGUAAAAACUCUACUAAUUGAAUGCCUAUUCGAAUAAAUUCUAUUUAAAAAGUUAUACAAAAUGGGGCCAUAGAGGGAGUGAAGCUAUUUGAAUCUUAAAAAUUCCCGCCAUAGAGGGAGUGAAGCUAUUUGAAUCUUAAAAAUUCCCUAGCUUACACACGAGUGGUUUAAAAAUUUCAAGCAAGUCUCCUUAAUUGAAGAAUAGCUUCCAAAGCAGGAUGAGAUGGAGGAUCUCUUUCAAACAGUUGAUGGAAAAUGUUGGUGGCAUCUGGAUAGAUGCAAUAUUAUGAUUUUUUUUAAAUAUUUUGUGUCUUGCUUUAUGCUUGUUUUGUUUUUGUAUUGGUGUUAAAAAGAGUACUUUUGCUUUGUUUAAUUUUACUAUUGCGGCAAGUGAUAUUAUGAAAAGGAUUUGAUCUAAUUUAUGGGUAUCAUCUGGCUGAAAGCAAGAGAUCUGAGAUUCGCACCCUACUAAAAUGGGUGGGGAAGCGACUAGGUUUUUGUUAGGUUAAAAAAUAAAAGAAAUAAAAAAAAUAAAAGGAAUGGAAUAAGAUCAUUAAAUAAAUAAAAGGGUAUUCUACACAAUUUAUUCUUUAAGUACUAUGACUAUCACUCUCAAAAAUCUAAUUUUUAAGGUUUUACUAAUAGAAACAAAAUAACUUAUUUAAUCUUCAAAAGUUAUACUCAAAAUACAAUCAAACUAUCGAAGUUGUCCCACAUGGGUUGUGAAAAGGGCUAUUGGUGAUUUUAUAAAUAUCAAGAAAAUCUCACCCCCGAAGCUAGCUUUUGGGGUUGAGAGAAGUUUAAGACUACCUAACACUAGUAUCAGUGUCCACAUUCACCAACAAUCUCAAUCCAACAAUCUAAUAAAGAGAACGAGUGUCUAUCUUCUGACCCAAGGCCCGAUGUGUGAGGGGAAUUGUUGGAGUUAUCCCACUGUUGGGCGUUAGAUAUUUUAUACUAAACAAACACUACGUUAGAUAGAAAAUUAAAAAUAUUAAAAAUAAUUUUGAUUGAAUUUUUUUCAUAACAAAUUACUAUAUUGACUUCCAAUGUGGACACAUGCACAAAAGGAAAAUAUCUUGUUAAUUGAUCAAUGAUCAUCUGACGCAAAGAUAUUAAAUGAUAAAAAUUUGAUUAAUUAAUGCGUGGUUAAUUAUCUGACUAGUUUAUAUUAACCAUCCAAAUACAGACGUAAUUAAUUUGCACACAAAGUUGAAAACAUGUAUUUUGUUGAAAUCUUAUUGGCUCUUUGAAUUCAUCAUUAAUCGUCUUAUUAAUGGAAAUUUGAAGCUUUCGGCUAAGUGCUAAAGAAAGCACAUUCCAUAAAUCACUAUAAACUCAGAAACAUAUGUAAUAAAUUAUCAGCUAUACUCAACAUCAAAUUCAAUCUUAGAAUUAACAUGACUGAAGUGAAGCUUCAUGGGGUAUUGCUGAGUCCAUAUGUUUACAGAGUGAUUUGGGCUCUGAAAUUGAAAGGCGUGCCAUACGAAUUUGUUGCAGAAGAUCUCUCAAACAAAAGUGAUUUGCUUUUGAAGUAUAAUCCAGUUUAUAAGAAGAUCCCUGUGCUUGUCCAUGGCGAAAAACCAGUUUCUGAGUCCAUGGUUAUUCUCGAGUACAUUGAAGAGAUGUGGCCACAGAAUCCCUCCUUGAUGCCAAACGAUCCUUAUGAUAGAGCUCUUGCUCGAUUUUGGAUUAAAUUCAUCGAAGACAAGGUUCGCACCACAACUCUAGCAAUCCCGUUUAUAAAUAUAUUCUUCUCAAAUUUAUUUAUUUAUUUGAGGUUUCGAUUAGACCAUAAGAAUAAAGAACUUCACCCACUAAAACCCCAACUCUUGUCCUUUGUUACUCGAACUCGGGUCAUAGUACGUAUAGCGGAUUCACAGUCAAUCAAGCCUAGUCGCUCAAUAGCCUUUUUCAUAUUUAUUUGUAAAAAACUCUUUAAACUUUCAACUCCUUGUUUCUUCACUACUUUGUUUCUAGAAAUUUUUAUUAACCAGUAGUGGAUUUAACUUCAUCAGGGAUAAAUAUUAAAAGAUACAAAACGUUAAAUUUAAUAUAAUUGUUUUUAAAUAUGAGGGGAUUUUGAUUAUUUAAAAAAAAACAUAUAGACUAAAAGUAAUGAAUUUACUAACUCUCUUAACUGACUUUUCAAACCUUUAAUUAAAGGAUAUUGUGACUUGUGUAAGUAUUGUCUAAUUUUUUUAGCAUACAACAUAUAUAUUAAUCAUGUGGUGAUAAUAAUUAGAUUAAAAAAUACUGUGGCAGAUUGUUGCUAUUUUGGGAUUGUUUCGUAGCAUUACUGGACAAGAACUAGAGAAUGCAACGAAGGAACUCUUGGAAAUCCUACAAACCCUUGAAGAACAUGGGCUGGGAGAGAAAUUUUUUUUCAAUGGAGACAAUAUUGGCUUAGUUGACAUAGCAUUUGGUUCAAUGCUUUUUUCGAUGCAAGUCAUUGGAGACGUAGUGGGAGUUAAACCAUUUGAAUCACACAAAUUUCCUAGCUUGCAUGCCUGGUUUGAAAAUUUCAAACAAAUCUUCAUCAUUAAUCGUCUUAUUAAUGGAAAUUUGAAGCUUUCGGCUAAGUGCUAAAGAAAGCACAUUCCAUAAAUCACUAUAAACUCAGAAACAUAUGUAAUAAAUUAUCAGCUAUACUCAACAUCAAAUUCAAUCUUAGAAUUAACAUGACUGAAGUGAAGCUUCAUGGGGUAUUGCUGAGUCCAUAUGUUUACAGAGUGAUUUGGGCUCUGAAAUUGAAAGGCGUGCCAUACGAAUUUGUUGCAGAAGAUCUCUCAAACAAAAGUGAUUUGCUUUUGAAGUAUAAUCCAGUUUAUAAGAAGAUCCCUGUGCUUGUCCAUGGCGAAAAACCAGUUUCUGAGUCCAUGGUUAUUCUCGAGUACAUUGAAGAGAUGUGGCCACAGAAUCCCUCCUUGAUGCCAAACGAUCCUUAUGAUAGAGCUCUUGCUCGAUUUUGGAUUAAAUUCAUCGAAGACAAGGUUCGCACCACAACUCUAGCAAUCCCGUUUAUAAAUAUAUUCUUCUCAAAUUUAUUUAUUUAUUUGAGGUUUCGAUUAGACCAUAAGAAUAAAGAACUUCACCCACUAAAACCCCAACUCUUGUCCUUUGUUACUCGAACUCGGGUCAUAGUACGUAUAGCGGAUUCACAGUCAAUCAAGCCUAGUCGCUCAAUAGCCUUUUUCAUAUUUAUUUGUAAAAAACUCUUUAAACUUUCAACUCCUUGUUUCUUCACUACUUUGUUUCUAGAAAUUUUUAUUAACCAGUAGUGGAUUUAACUUCAUCAGGGAUAAAUAUUAAAAGAUACAAAACGUUAAAUUUAAUAUAAUUGUUUUUAAAUAUGAGGGGAUUUUGAUUAUUUAAAAAAAAACAUAUAGACUAAAAGUAAUGAAUUUACUAACUCUCUUAACUGACUUUUCAAACCUUUAAUUAAAGGAUAUUGUGACUUGUGUAAGUAUUGUCUAAUUUUUUUAGCAUACAACAUAUAUAUUAAUCAUGUGGUGAUAAUAAUUAGAUUAAAAAAUACUGUGGCAGAUUGUUGCUAUUUUGGGAUUGUUUCGUAGCAUUACUGGACAAGAACUAGAGAAUGCAACGAAGGAACUCUUGGAAAUCCUACAAACCCUUGAAGAACAUGGGCUGGGAGAGAAAUUUUUUUUCAAUGGAGACAAUAUUGGCUUAGUUGACAUAGCAUUUGGUUCAAUGCUUUUUUCGAUGCAAGUCAUUGGAGACGUAGUGGGAGUUAAACCAUUUGAAUCACACAAAUUUCCUAGCUUGCAUGCCUGGUUUGAAAAUUUCAAACAAAUCCCUGUAAUUGAGGAAAACUUUCCUAAUCGAGAUGAAUAUUUUGUUUAUAUCAAACGUCGCCGUGAAGAGCUGUUGGCCUCUGCUUGAAUGCAGUAGCACAAAGUUUGUUUGUAUGUCUCACGUGUGCUUUUUUUGUUCUUGUAUUGGUGUUUAAAGCUGCUCUUUUUUUCUAUGUUUUUGUUAUUGUCUAGUUCCAAGCUCGGGAGGCUAGCUGACCGGGGUUCUUUUAAUAGAUAUGAAUAAUAAAAUAAGGGACUCAAUUUGUAUAUAUUAAUUUCUAUCUUUCUUUUAAUGAUAUUUAAAAAUAAAAUUAAAAAAUUUAUAAGGGUACAACAAACAAUACACACAUGCGCACGCGCGCGCGCGCGCACACACACACACACAUAUAUAUAUAUAUAUAUGAGGGUGAGGGUGGUGAUAUUUCCACCCACUACUUUUGUAAACAUUCAUAUCCAAUGGUUGUAUUUUUAUUUUGCCUAAAAAUAUGUUUUUUUUUAAUAUGCUACACUUGUAUUGAUGCCUUUAUGAUCAGGUCGGCUAGACCAACAUAUUUCCCCGGGGAACCGGUAAAUACUUCGGCUACGAAAAAGGGUUGUGAUAAGAAACGCUCAAUUUUUCGCGCCCUUGCUACUGCUGUACCGUACAUCCGCCUUGGCCGUACAGCAGAUGAUUUUGACUAUUUUUCUACUAUCAAACAAAAAUGAAAGCAAGUACUUGUGUUUCAAAGGUAUAGUCAAAGAGAGCAGCUGGGAACCUUGAUUUGCUGGGCACCUAGGCACUCAAAUACAACUGAUCCAUGAUCAUCAUGCAUGACGCAAUAAGUUAAAUAAAGCAUCGAUCAUGCAUGACGCAAAUAUUAAAUUGGGAAAGAAAUGUCAACUGUAUAAUUGAUACACGGUUAUCUGAGUAGUUGACCAAAUUAAUGAUCUCAUUAGCUAGCCUUUUUAAUUAAUCAAAAUAUAGAUGUAAUUUGAAAAUUAAUAAAAACAUGACCCCUCUUUUAAAUUGAAAAUAGGAUCACUUGUGAAUUCAGCAUCGUUAAAGAAUAUGAGAGAAAGGGAUGAUCCUAAUUUAUUAAAUACAUAGCGAUUAAAAAAAUGAAAAAGAAAAAUAGUGGCAGGGUGCAGCUGUUUCGAAAAUGUUUUUUUCACCAACUGACAAGAUCUAGAGAAUACAAUGAAGGAAGCCUUGGAAAUGCUUCCAACUGUUGAAAAAUAUGGCUUAGGAGAGAAGAAAUUUUUCAAUGGAGACAAUAUUGGCUUCGUGGACCUAAUAUUUGGAUCGGUUCAAGUCCUUAAGAUAUAAUAUAUAAUACCUAUUUGAUAUGAUUUAUUUAAAGGUUAUAAGUACUUGUUUAAUUUUAAUUUUUUUUUCAAAAUUUUUAUUGUUGUUUGGUUUUAUUUUCAGUCGAGCUUAUGAGAAUUAAAUAAGUUAUUUUUACUCUACCAAUAAGUGCUUAAAUUUUAAAUUUUUAAGAGUAGAGAUUAGAAUACUUUUUUAAAAUGUUAGAUUGUCUAGUAUGCUCAUUAUCUAUUUUACAUUCUUAUUUUAUCCAUAUCUAUUUCAUAACAUAACUUUAAAAACUUAUCUACUAAAUUAAUUUUAUAAUUUGCAAAGUUCUUUAGAAAAGCAAUGAAUCAGACAACUAUUUUUUUGGAGUAAAAACUCUAUUAUUUUAAAGUCUAUUUAAAUAAGUUAUAUUUAAAAAUUAUAUCAAAUGGAGCUUUAAUGGGAGUGAAACUAUUUGAAUCUUGUGAAUUCCCUAGUUUGCGCAAGUGGUUUGAAAAUUUCAAGCAAAUUUCUGUAAUUGAAGAAAAUCUUCCGAGUCAAGGUGAGAUGGAUGGUCUCUUUGAAUAAUUUUUUGGAAAUAGUGGUGGCAUGUGCAUGAAUGUUAUUACAUUUUUUUUUUUUUUGUGCCUUGCUUUGAGCUUGUUUUGUCAUUGUACUGGUGCUAGAAAGAGUUCUUGGGCGCUUUUUAAAGGAAAUGAGUAAUAAAAUAGGGUCGAUUUCAUAUAUAUUUUUAUAUCUUCUCUUAACCCUAUUUAAAAAAUAAUAAACAUAAAUGUUAUAAGGUUACAACGUUACGCAGCUGUAUAUCCAAUUGAAAUUAAUAAACUUAGGCAAACAUCAGGAGAAUUAGAAUCUAAUUUUGAGAAUUGGGAACACAGCUAAGUUGUGAAUUAAAUUGUCACAUGCGGUUGAAAAGUGGUAAACAAAAAAAAAAAAAAAAAAAGUUAGCAAUGUAAUUUUUUAAUAUAUUUAAAAAUUUUAAUAUAAAGAGAAAUUAUUUUGGGCACCAAAAUAUUGACUGCUAAGAAAUAUGAUAGAUCUAAUCCCUAUCGCCUAAUUAGUAUUAUCAUAAUUUACUGAAAGUUGUAAAAUACAAAACUCAUGUUAUUUCGAUGUCAAGACCGAGGACUUGCUACUUAAUUUUUACAUGAACUUUAUGGUGGGACUCAUACUUAUGGGUUCCAUAAUCCAUAUUAUAUUUAUGGAACCCGAUAAUCAAUUUGCAGAAACUUGAUUGAGGUAGGAGUGAUGGAUCUUUAAUCCUACCUUGUUUGAUCCUUAAUUCAACGUUGGACUUAUAUGUGGAUAAUUAUAUGUUAUAAACUGUCAUAUAAGGUUAAGUCCUAUUAAAAGUAAUCUAUUCAAACAUUUGGUGAUUUGAGCCUUUUUUUUUUUUUUUUUUUGGUACAUAGGGAGCCCUCAAAGAGGGUUAAGACGGUACUAGACGGGGAUAGCCAACCCCAUACAUAUCAUGCCAGACAAAAGGAUUAAUAAAGGCCGGUGGGGAGUUAAAAAUAUGGAGGCCCAACGGCAAAGAGUGAGCAUAAUUAGCCAGAGCAUCUGCAGCAUAAUUCGCCUCACGAUAAAUAUGCUUGAGAUCAACAUUCCAAUCACGCUUCAGCAUCUCCUGGAUUGGACAAGAUAAGCUGAUAAUACCCAUUAGGGGCAUUAUUAACACUUACAACCAAGUCAUAGACACAUAAACUAUCCACUUCCACCAAUAGCCAUCGAAUACCGACCUCCCAGGCCAAUAAUAAGCCUUGAUAAAGGCCCUAAAGUUCAGCAAGCGUAAUCGAGCAGCAACCUAUAUUGUGACUGAAUCGUCUAAUCUACUAACCCUUAUGAUCUCGAAUAAUGCCUCCUACACUAGCUAGGCCAGAUUUUUUUGCAAGAGCCGUUCGAAUUUAAUUUGCACCAGGGCCAUACUGGAGGUGACCCAUAAAUCCAUAAUUCCUUCUUGAAUGCCGUCGUAACUACCACAGAUUCAUGAAAGCAUUGAAUCUCAUCAGCCCUCAAACAAAUGUCAUGAAACAUGUGAUUGCUGUCAACAUUAACGUUAUUGAAUUGAAAAUUAUUCCUUCAAUACCAAAGCCUCCAAAUAGUGACACCAAAAAUACAGCUUCAAUCAACAUUUCGGCGCGUCUGCUCCUUACUUCGAAUAUUAAAAAAUAACCAAUCCUUAAGAGACAGAGAAAAAAAGUCAGCUUGUGAGCUCUUUGGAAUGAAACAAUUCCAGAUUCUUUUAGCCACCGGACAGUCUCUAAGCACAUGAAGAGGGCUCUCCAAGUCCAAGCCACACCGAUCACAAAUGCCAUCUGAAUCAAGGUGCCUUCUCCUCAAUUCUAGUUUUGUCUUAAGUCUAUCAUGCAUCACUGUCCAGAUAAAAAUGCAGAUAUCUUGAGGACCCUUCCAUAGCCAGGCCAGCAGCCAAUUCGAAUCCUUAUCUUCAUAUUCCAAACCCGCAAGAUGGUGGUAGGCAGACUUAAUCGUGAAUAAACCUUUGCUGGAAGCUGACCAAUAAAUCGGAUCUUGUCCUCUAGUAGGAGUUGGCGGUUGGAUAGACGCAAUUUUGAGAACAAUAUGAUUCGGCAACAAAUGACUGAAAAUUUCCCACUUCCAUUGGUUGUCCAACGAAACAAAGUCAGCCACCUUACCAUGAAGGAUGUCCUCACCAACCGUGGCAGUGGCAUAAGCAAUGAGAGGUUUAUAUUUAACAGCCCAGCAGUCCUACCAGAACCUGACUUUCUCACCAUUUCCAAUAGACUAGCCCGUGCCCGUAAGAGUUUUGCUCCAAACCUUGCUUACUGAUCGCCAAAGAUAGGAGCAAUUUUUGUUAGAUAAUGCAAUCGGAGGAUUCAUAGGAUCAAAACCAUACUUCGUGCUCAAUACUCUAAUCCAAAGGCUAUUGGUUGAAGAAAGAAGAUCCCAACAAAUCUUCAUAAGCAUAGCUUGAUUCAUAAAAUUUAGAUUUUUAAAUCCCAAUCCACCACAAAUUUUCGGCUUACAAACUGUGCUCUAGCUGAUUUGACUUAGUUUCCUCUCUUUAUUAUUGCCACUCCACAAAAAACGUCGGCAUGCUUGGUCGACUUUGUACUUGACACCAUCCGGAAGAUUUGUCGGCAAAAAUGGGAAGUGCUUGUAGCACUGAUUGUGUGAGAGUUAUAGGCCCAGCCAAAGAAAGGUGAGAAGCAUUCCAAGAUGACAACCUCUUUUCCACUUUAUCCACAAUAUCUUGGUAAGUAUUCUUGGUAACCCUUGAAUGUAGAAGAGGCAUACCAAGAUACCUACCAAGAUUAUUAGAGAUAGUGAAACCUAGAGCCUUACUAAUACUCUUAGACAGAACCGCCGAGACAUUAGAAGAGAAAAAAAUGGAGGUCUUAGUAUUGUUCACCUUUUUCCCAGAGCUACAACAAAAUUCACCGAGGACCGCAUUGAUGAUUUGGGCUUGAUCAUGUGAAGCUUCAGCAAAUAACAAUAAGUCAUCCGCAAAAAAAAGGUAGGUGAGGGGGGUCCCCUGGCGUAACAACCGAAUUGGCUUCCACUUUCCAGCAUUGACAGCACUGCAAAUAGCAUGACUAAGCCGCUCCAUACAAAGCACGAAUAGAUAAGGAGAAAUAGGAUCACCCCGCUGAAUGCCUCUUGAAGGUGUAAAGUCCUCCGUAAACUCACCAUUCCAUAAAACAUUCAUCCGAGCAGUGGUGAUACAUUCCAUUAUAAUUCGGGUAAGAUUCUUCGGUAAACCGACCUCAAUUAAUGUCUCAAAUAUGAAAUCCUAGCUCAGCCUAUCAUAGACCUUUUCGAGAUCAACUUUGAUUGCCAUUUGCCCCACUCUUCCCCUUUAUUUCCUCAUAGUAUGAAUAACCUCCUGCGCCAUUUUCAAUAAUGUGUCAUCCCGGGACAAAGCUAGUUUGCUGCGGUCCAAUGAGAUAAGGAAGGAUGGACUUUAAGCGGUUAGCAAUCAGUUUGGUGAUAGCUUUAUAAGCGACUGAACAUAGACUGAUGGGUCGAAACAUCUUCAAACUUGUGGGAUUAUCAACUUUCGGGAUAAGCACGAGCAAUGUAUGAUUGAUAUCUGCCGGUAGUUGGCGGCUAUUAAAAAUUCCUUCACCAUUUGGCAAAAAGAAACACCAACAACGUGCCACUGACUCUGAUAGAAAAUAGCCGGAAAUCCGUCAACACCCGGAGCUUUCAGCAGCUUCAUAUUAAAGAUGGUUUGCUUGAUUUCAUCGUCAUUGAUAGGUGACAUUAGAAACUGCCAAGUGGAUUCAUCAAUACUUCGAAAAUAACCCGUGGGGAUAAGACACAAAACAAGCGUCAGUAUUUGUGUAAAGUGAAGAGAAUAAAUCAAUAGCAUGCUGUUUAAUCGCUGUGGGCUCGUAAAGCCAAGAGCCCUUCUCAUCCAUGAUAGCUUUGAUGCAGUUUCUAUGUCUCCUUGCUAAGGUUUUCUGGUGAAAAAAUUUUGUGUUUCGGUCCCCCAACAGAGCCCAGUCUUUUCGGGAUUUUUGAUGCCAAAACCACUCCUCCUGAUUAAGCACCUCCUCCAGCUCUUUUUUCAAUUUCUUUUGUAAGUGAAAAAGGCUUCUAGUGUAUUUAACCUCAAGAGCUCGUUGAAUACCUCCAAGCCUAGCUAACAAUCUCCUUUUCCGUUGAAAAAUAUUUCCAAAAAUCACCUUGUUCCACUGUAAUAAUUUGGGAGUGAAAUCAUGAAUCAUGUCACUAAAGGUAGUAUUAGACUUCCAAUGUGAGGCAACAAAUUUUCCAAACUUCUCAUUCGUGAGCCAAGCGGAUAAGAAACGAAAGGGCUUGUUAGCUUUGGAAGCUGAAUUAGUCUCCCCAAAUUUAACAAGAAUAGGUCGAUAAUCUGAGCCCACUUUCGGUAAAUGCAGUAACAUAUUUUCAGGGAACUCGGUCAACAAUUCACCAUUGCAAACAGCUCGGUCCAACCUUUUGUAAAGGCUACCACGUGACCAGAUGAAGCGAGGGCCUUGGAAAUCUAGAUCACAAAGAUUAUUGGAGUGAAACCAAUUUCUGAGCAGAGGACAAACUCCAUUUUUACUAUUGACACCACCCUUCUUUUCAGAGGCAUAAAGGAUCGUGUUGAAAUCCCCUCCCACCAGCCAAGGUCCUUGAAUCUACUUCGCAAUGCUUUCUAAAUGUUGCCAGAGUUGUUUACGGAUAACUGGAAUAGGACUUGCAUAAACAGCAGUGACCCAAGAAAUUAAGGAGCUGUUUUCAGACACCUGGAAGUGUAUAUAUUGCUUAUGAUUCCAUAUUAUAUUCACCUCAUAUGCAUUGUUCCAUAGUAUCCAAAUCCCACUAGAGAAUCCUUCAGCUUCCAUCUGAUGUGAACAGUGAAAGCCAUUAUGCUUAAUAAACACAUCAGCCUUAGCUCCACUAAUUCGGGUUUCCAUCAAAACCACCAUUUUAAGACUGAAAGCCUUGAUUAAGGUUCUGAACGAAAAGCGGAAACCAUUUGAAGCUGCUCCUUGGACAUUCCAAAACAUGUUGGAAAAAGCCAUAAGAGAAAAAUGGUGCAAGUAUUUAGAGUUAAACGGAGGUAACAAACCUCACACCAGCGGCCCUAAGACAUCUGGUAUUACUGCCAUGUCUUGCUCACUGACCAGAGAGGUGUCAUCAGUGGAAGUUCCGAAACCCUCCUCAUCAUUGGUGCCCCGGUAAUCACUAUCAUCACUAUCUUCAUCCAUAUCCUCAUUCAAAGCCACCCUACCAGUGUCAGGAGGUUCUUCUAGAGGAUCAAAGAGUUGAUUGUGGUACUUGGACACCGAACUGUUUUGCUUAGAGCAUCACCAAAAGGGUUUUCAAAUAAGAUUUUAUUAAUUAUUUGAAGAGCCACCUCAAUAUUUAAGGCUCCAAAAGACACUUCAAUUAAGAUUUUUCAAAUAAAAAGUGAUUCUCUCUCUUCAAAUUUAGAGAGUUGAUUUUUCCCUCUUCAAUUUAUAUUUUAUUACUUUUCAUUAGAGAAAAAGAGAGUACUUUAAUUGUUAUUGACUUUUUGUUUAAAAAAAUAAUUAUUUGAUUAAAAUAAUAUUAAGUUAUUUUUAUUUGAAUAGUCUUUUAGAGAAUAUCAUUUUUUUUACCUUUCUAUUUGUCACAUAAAUAAGUAAAUAGAUAUUUAAAUAGUAAAAUUUAUAAAAUUUUUUGGAGAUGCUCUUAGUACCUACUAGCAUGGUGUGGUUUGGGUCAAGGGGAGAAGGGUUACUGGUAUUAAAAGAGAUGGCUGAGUGGUGUUGUGGGUCUAAAGAUGUAGGGACACUGUAUGGAGUCAGGGAGGGCUGUAGUUCAUGGUCUUUAGUUUGAGUACAGAGAAUGUGUCGGUUUUGCAUGGGGUUGUUUAGUGACUUUUCGGUAGGAUUGGCUGUGUUAUGGGCUUUCAUGGAAUCUUGGGUUUUUCUUCUUUGGGCUUGUAAGGUCUGUUUAGUGGCUUGUGUUAAAGGCACGGGUAUUUUUCCUUGGUUUGAGAUGCUUGGUACCUAUCAAAUCCUGUAAAUUUGUGUUUGCGGGCACGUGGCUCCUUAACAUGGCAACUGAGGAUUCAUUUUCUAGACCUUGGUUCUCUUUUCCAUCCUCAUCUUCCAGCCGAGCCCCGAAUCGAGAUCCUUGAUUGAAGUUGCCUUUUUGAUUAUUAGCAUAAUCUUGAAGUUUCUCCUUCUCUUUCCCAUACUGAUUCCUUCUUUUUCGGGUAACCACCAUCCAUGGGCCACAGCGAGGAUCGCUUGGGGUAGCUUUCUCUGCAGUCGGAGCUGAUGGUAACUUGCUGCUUGAGAGAUCGUUUGAGUUAUGUGGAUCAACAUUAGCCUUAGGAUUCCCAAUAUUCUAACAGAUUGCAAAACUGAAUUGAUUCUCAUUGAAUAAACAACCGUAUAAAUACAAAACCAAGAGUGAUUGAAGAUCCUACAAACUAGGAAGGUUACAACUGAAUCCUAUAUCUACUAAUGACAGCUAAAUACAUUUGAAUAUAUUUAAAUAAUACAAACUGAUGAGAAAGACUAAGUCAAGUAACUGAUUAUCUCUAUUAUGCCCCCUCAAGAUGGAGCUCGGGAGAGAAGUCCAAUCUUGUGUUUAUGGUUAAGAAAACGUUGGCGUGGAAGUGGCUUGGUGAGAGCAUCUGCUAGCUGAUCUUCAGAAGAGACAUGAGCUACACGAAGAGCUCCAUUUUGAACUUGAUCCCUGAUAAAAUGAAAAUCUAUGGCAACAUGCUUCAUGCGGGAAUGAAAAAUUGGAUUUGACCAGAGUUGAGUUGCCCCUAUAUUAUCACAGUAAAUGACAGGGUAGUAAGGAAGCAAAAUACCAAGAUCAGUCAAGAGAUAACAAAUGAAAUUAAGUUCAGCAGCUGUAUUUGCAACGGAGCGAUACUCUGCCUCAGUGGAGGAUUUAGCAACUGUCCGUUGCUUUUUAGAGCUCCAGGAGAUAGGAUUUUUACCAAGAUAAACAACAUAAGCACUGGUGGAGCAAAAAGUGUCUUUGUCUCCUGCCCAAUCAGCGUUAGAAAAGGCUUGUAAACUUAGAGAAGUGUCUGAGAAUGCAUGUAAACUGAGAUUAGAGUCUUUGUAAAGUUCCAAACCAUCAUCAACAAUACCAACAAGAUAACGUAGUAGUCGUUUGACAAAAGACCAAUGUUCAGUUGUGGGGCAGUGCAUAUAUUGAGACAAUUUGUUGACAGCAAAGGCAAUGUCAGGUCUUGUUAUUAGCAAAUAUUGAAGGCUCCCCACUACCUGGCGAUACUCAGUGGGAUCAGAAAGAGAAGAACCUGAGGUGAGCAUGAGAGUGGGGCUUGUUGGUAUGGGAGUGAGAACAAUCUUUGCUUCUUGCAUCUUGGUUUGAGUGAGAAGAUCCAUGAUAUAUCUUCUUUGUGAGAGUAACAAGCCAUGGUUGUUGGGGAUAACUUCCACACCCAGAAAGUAAGUGAGGAAACCAAGAUCUUUGAUGGAAAAUCGCUGAGCAAGAAUGGAAAUGAAGCGAUUAACCGUGGUAUCAUUGUCUCCUGUGAAUCUACUAAUGACAGCUAAAUACAUUUGAAUAUAUUUAAAUAAUACAAACUGAUGAGAAAGACUAAGUCAAGUAACUGAUUAUCUCUAUUAUGCCCCCUCAAGAUGGAGCUCGGGAGAGAAGUCCAAUCUUGUGUUUAUGGUUAAGAAAACGUUGGCGUGGAAGUGGCUUGGUGAGAGCAUCUGCUAGCUGAUCUUCAGAAGAGACAUGAGCUACACGAAGAGCUCCAUUUUGAACUUGAUCCCUGAUAAAAUGAAAAUCUAUGGCAACAUGCUUCAUGCGGGAAUGAAAAAUUGGAUUUGACCAGAGUUGAGUUGCCCCUAUAUUAUCACAGUAAAUGACAGGGUAGUAAGGAAGCAAAAUACCAAGAUCAGUCAAGAGAUAACAAAUGAAAUUAAGUUCAGCAGCUGUAUUUGCAACGGAGCGAUACUCUGCCUCAGUGGAGGAUUUAGCAACUGUCCGUUGCUUUUUAGAGCUCCAGGAGAUAGGAUUUUUACCAAGAUAAACAACAUAAGCACUGGUGGAGCAAAAAGUGUCUUUGUCUCCUGCCCAAUCAGCGUUAGAAAAGGCUUGUAAACUUAGAGAAGUGUCUGAGAAUGCAUGUAAACUGAGAUUAGAGUCUUUGUAAAGUUCCAAACCAUCAUCAACAAUACCAACAAGAUAACGUAGUAGUCGUUUGACAAAAGACCAAUGUUCAGUUGUGGGGCAGUGCAUAUAUUGAGACAAUUUGUUGACAGCAAAGGCAAUGUCAGGUCUUGUUAUUAGCAAAUAUUGAAGGCUCCCCACUACCUGGCGAUACUCAGUGGGAUCAGAAAGAGAAGAACCUGAGGUGAGCAUGAGAGUGGGGCUUGUUGGUAUGGGAGUGAGAACAAUCUUUGCUUCUUGCAUCUUGGUUUGAGUGAGAAGAUCCAUGAUAUAUCUUCUUUGUGAGAGUAACAAGCCAUGGUUGUUGGGGAUAACUUCCACACCCAGAAAGUAAGUGAGGAAACCAAGAUCUUUGAUGGAAAAUCGCUGAGCAAGAAUGGAAAUGAAGCGAUUAACCGUGGUAUCAUUGUCUCCUGUGAGAAUUAAAUCAUCAACAUAAACAAGAAGAUACAUGGUAUGGCCAUCAGCAUGAAAGACAAGGAGUGAUGUAUCAGCAUAUGAAUUUUGAAAACCAAACUGGAGAAGGAAGGUUCUGAGUUCAUGAUACCACGCCCGAGGGGCUUGUUUCAGGCCAUAAAUUGCUUUGUUGAGUUUGCAGACAUAAGAGGGGUUGUCUUUAUCAACAAAUCCCGGUGGUUGUGACAUGUAUACAUUCUCUGAUAGAUGUCCUUGAAGAAAGGCAUUGUUUACAUCAAGUUGCCUUAAGGACCAGCCACGGCUGACUGCUAUACUUAGAACGAUUCGGACAGUAGUCGGUUUUAUAACGGGACUGAACGUGUCUUGGUAGUCUAUUCCAGGACGUUGGUGGAAUCCCUUGGCAACCAAUCGGGCUUUGAACCUAUCAACAGAGCCAUCAAAUUUUCGUUUAGUUCUAAACACCCACUUACAACCAACCAAAUUUUGACUGCUAUCUUGUGGAACGAGAGCCCAAGUGCCAUUCUUCACUAAUGCAUCAUAUUCUUCAGACAUGGCCCGACGCCAUUUAUGGUCUUUGAGGGCUUGGGUUAAGGUUGUUGGUUCAUGAUCAUCACCUUUGGUUAAUUGAGUGUGAAGAUUCAUUUUGGUGAUAGGUUUACGAAUAUUGUUUUUGGCUCUAGUAGUCAUGGUGUGGGUGGGUUGUGGCUGAGGCUCGGGUGGGCUUAUAAGUGGUGCUUGUUGUGGAGAAUUGCUGGUAUUUGAAGGUUCACGUGUUUGUGGUGGAGAAAAUGUGGCGGCCUGGUCUAAUGGACGUGAGAGGUCACGUGAUGUGGGUUGAGUAAAUGUAGCGGGCAGGUCUAGUGGUAGUGAAACUGCACGUGGGGAUUGCUGUUGGGCAUCAACUGCAGAUGAGGAAUUGAGUGGUGGUAUCACAGGCAAGAUGGGAACUCGAAGUGGUGAUGGAAUCCAAGUAGCAAUGGAAUGUAAUGGAGAACAAGAGGUAGGAGCAGAGAGAUUAGUGAAGGGAAAGACAGUUUCAACAAAUCUGACAUGCCUAGAGAUAUAUAUUUUGGAAGUGGAUGGAUCAAGGCAGUAAUAGGCACUUUGAGUUAAAGAGUAGCCAAGGAAGACACAUGGUUUGGAUCGGGUGUCCAUUUUGUUGGUAGUGUAUGGUCUCAGCCACAGAUAGCAUAAACAGCCAAAAAUUUUGAGUUUUGAGUAAUUGGGAGCUGUUGUAAAAAAUUUUUCAUAAGGAGAAGAAAGGUUCAAGGUGGGUGUUGGCAUACGAUUUAUGAGAUAAACCGUUGUGGCUAAUGCAUAAGUCCAAUAACUUAAAGGAAGAUAUGCAUGAGAGAGUAAUGCUAGACCAGUUUCUACAAUAUGAAGAUGUGUACGUUCAGAAAAUCCAUUGUGUUCAGGGGUAUGAGGUAGUGUAGUGAGAUGAGAGAUACCAUUUGUUGAAAGAAAAUUGGCAAGGGCAAUGUAUUCACCACCAUUAUCGGAAUAGAGUGUUUUGAUAGGUUUAUCAAAGUCUUUUUCAACAAUGGCUUUAAAUCUAAUAAAAAUAUCCUUGACUUAUGACUUUUGUUUAAGAGGGUAGAACCAAAUAUAUCGGGUGAAAUGAUCCACAAAAAUGACAUAAUAUUUAAAUCCAUUAUUUGAUAUAAUUGGAGAUGUCCAAACAUCAGAGAAGAUAGUUUCAAGGGGUUGAGAAGAUAUAAUGGUGGACUGGGAGAAUGACAAUUUGUGGCUUUUAUUACUCAAACAAACAUUACAUGAAAAAUUGUUGGAAAAUGAAGAAGAAAAAUCAAGUUUAUUUUUGGAAACAAUCUGUUUCAGAAUAUGGAAAGUUGGGUGUCCUAAUCUUUGAUGCCACUCGGAUAGAGUUGUUUUGAUGCUAGAAAAAGCAAGCAAGGGUGGACAUACUGGCCACUCAUAAACGCCAUCUUUAGUGUUGCCCUUCAGAAGUGUUGCCCCCGUGCGAAUGUCCUUUACAAGAAAAGCAGUUGGUAAGAAUUCAAAGGAGACAUUAUUUGAGGUGCAGAAUUGAGAGAUGGAAAUGAGAUUCUUUUUCAUAGCAGGAACACAGAGGACAUUAUUUGACUUGUUUGAUGCGGCCACGAGAAGGCUUGGCGUAGGUGGUGGCUAGGAUAGUCCAUGCUUCACGGGCUGUCUUGGCUUGUGCAAGAAAUGGUAUGAUGGUGUGGGAGAUGGAACCAAUGAUUGCAUUCAAGAUCAAUUGGUCCUGUCGGAUCCAGAGGAUGUGAGCAGGGUUGGAUCUGGUUGUAUCAUUUAGUGUGAGAGUGGCUGAGGGACAUGGCUUGGUGGAGGUGAGUUUUAGAGGGGUUUGGGCAGCAACAUUAAUGCUGAUAAGGGUGUUGUGGGAGUCAUUUGUGUUGAGAAUGGAGGGGGAAGGGAUAGCCAUGGUUUGUGAUUAAAGAGAAGAGAGAUUGGGGAGAAGAAUGGAAUAUGUUACCUCUGAUUUUGCUCUGAUACCAUAACAGAUUGCAAAACUGAAUUGAUUCUCAUUGAAUAAACAACCGUAUAAAUACAAAACCAAGAGUGAUUGAAGAUCCUACAAACUAGGAAGGUUACAGCUGAAUCCUAUAUCUACUAAUGACAGCUAAAUACAUUUGAAUAUUUUUGAAUAAUACAAACUGAUGAGAAAGACUAAGUCAAGUAACUGAUUAUCUCUAUUAUAUUCGACCUUUCUGGGCAGGAUGAAAUCAUGUGACCAUACCUUCCGCAACUAAAACAAAUAGUCGGGAGGGAUUCACAUUCCACAUUCUGAAUCUUCCCAUCCAAUAGAAACUGUGAAACUAACGGUCUGUCAAGAUUAACCUCGACGGCAAUCCGAGCAAAUUUUCCCCGAGUGACUAGUUCCGUGUUAUAGUCAAUUUUGGGCACUGUUCCUACUACAUUCCCCAACAGACGAAUAAUUCUUUUAUGAUAGUAGUGCAAUGGCAUGCCGGGGAGACGGAUCCAAGCCGUAAUCUUCUGGAUUUUCUCCUUAAAGCAAUCAAAUUGUGGACUCCAUUGCUGAACAUUCAAAUAAUGACCCAAUAUAACCUAUGGCCCUUGAGUAAGAACAAACUCAGCACCAUUUCCAUGGUAUUUGAGAAAUAUGACUCUCUAAACUUUUAUUUUACAUUACAGAAAAUUAUAAAAAAAAAUCGGUUAAUUACUUUAAAUUUUUAUCUUUAGAAAAUUUUCUUAAUUAACCGUGGAUUUUACUGCAUCAAGGGUAAAAUAUUAAAAUAUAAUUGUUUUAGCGACGGGGGAAUUUUAAGGACUUUUGAAACGUGAAAGUAAAAUUAUAAUUUACUAAAACAAUAAGAGGACUUUUUUUUAUCUUUUUCCUUUUAUUUCAUUAAGUAUUUGUUGAUAUGGCUUAUUUAUUACUCAUACAUGUUUAUUUAAUAAAAAAACUCUUUUCAAAAUUUUUAUUAUUGUUUAGUUUUAUUUUUAGUAAAGCUUAUUGGGAUUAAAUAAAUUAUUUUGCCUAUAUUAAUAAAAUUUUAAAUUUACACUUUUGGAAAUAGAGGGUUGAGGAUUUUUUAAAAAGUUAAAUUGUUUAAAAUAUUCAUCAUUUACUUUAUAAUCUUAUUUUAUUUAUUUCAUAACAUAACUUUAAAAAUUUAUCUAUUAAAAUAAUUUGAAAAAUUUUAAUAAAAAUUUUCAUUAACAAUUAAAUAACUAACUUUUUUUAUAAAAAUUAAAAUUUUACUAAUAAAAAUUCUACUUAAAUAAGUUCUGAAAAAUUAUACUAAACUAGUCUAAAUAUUAGUAGAUAAACUCUCCUAAAUACUUUGACAGUUUGAAAAAAUGAAACGUCUAGGCUUUAAAAGAUACUUUGACGCGUGUGUACAUAUUAUCUAAUUUCUUUUUACCUCAUAUAUAUUAUUAAUCAUGUGGUGGUAAGAAUUAGAUAUAAAAUCUUGUGGCAGGGAGUAGCUGUCUGGAAAAUGUUUUUCAGCACUGGACAAGACCUGGAGAAUGCAGUGAAGGCAGCCUUGGAAAUGCUUCAAACCGUUGAAAAACAUGGCCUAGGAGAGAAGAAGUUUUUCAAUGGAGACAAUAUUGGCUUAGCGGACCUAGCAUUUGGAGCCAUUGCUUAUUGGUUGCAGGUCCUUGAAGAUGUAAUGGGAGUGAAACUAUUUGAAUCUCACAAAUUCCCAAGCUGGCAUGAGUGGUUUGAAAAUUUCAGGAAAGUCCCUGUAAUUGAAGAAAAUCUUCCAAAUCAGCAUGAGAUGGUGAUCGCUUUCAAACGUCGUCGGGAAACAUUGGUGACAUCUGCGUGAAUGUAUUAUCAUAAAAUAAGUUUGUGAUUCUUGCUUUGUGCUUGUUUUAUUUUUGUACUGAUGCUAAAACAGAUCUUUCUACUUUGUUUAAUUCAUUUUACUAUUGAGACGAACUGUAUGUUGGGUGCUAUUUAAUGGAUAUAAAUAAUUAAUAAAUGAAACUCCAUUUUACAUAUUUUUAUUCUCAGUUUCUCUUAACAGCAUAUAAAAAGUAAUAAGCAUGCGUUUUAAGCAUACAUUUUUAUAAGGCGCAACAUUACAAAGUUAUAUAUCCAAUUGAAAUAUAUAUAUAUAUAACUAAUUUUGAAAACUAGUGGAUAUAUCUAAUUCUAUGCUAAAAUUCAAGGAUACCACUGAACAUUUUGCUAAUUAAUUUUGAACCUUCUAACAAUUAAGACCGCCCAUGUCCCUGCAUUAUAGCAGCUAGGGAUGGUAAUGGGUAUUGGCUGCUGUAGGUUUGUCAUUACUAAAUCUUUUUGUAAUCUAUUUAGAUUUUGUCUUUAUAAAUUUUAUACAACUGCUAUCGUCAAUUAAUUAGACAAAUAAAAAUUCAAGUUUAGCAAACAAUCAAUAUGUUCAAGUCAUUAAAGCAAAACAAUUCAAAGUAGUUAAAAUAAAAUAAAAUAUAAUUAAUAUUAAGCUUGAAAAGUACAAAAUUCUACUUAUUAAAAAGUUAUUGUCUUCAUCUUAAAAUAUAUACAUAUACUAGAAGGAGCAAGGCGUGCAGCUAUAAUUAGUUAGAUUAGGUUUAAGAAUUUUGAAAACUAGAGUAAUAACUUUAACUUAUAUACUUAUAGAAAAUCUUUUGGUGGAAGUUGAUAGUCUCUGUGUUUCACAGAUAAUUUCUAAGCAGGUGGUCGUGCCUAAUGCUUUUUAUGCUAUAGUUGUUGCUGUUCAGGAAUUAUUAAGUAGAAACUGGCAAAUUUCUAUCAUACACAUCUUUCGUUAAGCGAAUUCAGCUGUGGAUUUCAUGGCUAAUAUGGCUCAUUCAGUUCCUCAUGGUUUGCAUUUAUUUACUAGCCUGCCUGUGGGUAUUUAUUCAAUUAUAUUGCAAAACAUGGUUACUCAACCCCGCUUUGUUCCGGCUUAGCUCGUUCUGUUGAGCCCCUUUUAAUAAAAAAAAAAUCUUCUAAAUCGGCGUGAGUUGGUGGUCUCAAACGUGGUCGGGAAACAUUGGUGGUACCUGCGCGAAUGUAAUAUCAUAAAAUAAGUUAGUGAGUCUUCUUUUACACUUGUUAUGUUUUUGUACUGGUGUUAAAAAUGUUCUUUCUAUUUUGUUUAAUUAAUUUUACCAUUGAAGUAAGCUGCAUGUUAGGUGCUAUUUAGUGGAUAUAAAUAAUUAAUAAAUGAGACUCCAUUUUAUAUAUUUCUAUACUCAACUUCUCUUAGCAGUAUAUAAAAAAUAAGAAGCACGCAUUUUAAGCAUACAUUCUACAAGGCGCAACAUUACGAAGUUGUAUAUCCAAUUGAAAUGGAAAAAAAAAAAAAAAAUGUAAACAACAUGGGAAUCAGAAACUAAUUUUUUGAAAACAAGGGGAUAUAUCUAAUUCUAUGUCUAAACUUCAGGGAUGCGGCUGAAAAUUUUGCUAUUUAAUGUUGCAACUUGUAACAAUUCAAGACCGCCUCCGGCCCUGUGUUACAGAAGCUGCUGAUGGUAAUGGGAAUCACUUAUUAUGGGUUUGUCAUUAUUAAACUCGCCAGUAACCGGUUGCCUUAGUUCGUUCGCUAUAAUUUUUAAUAAUUAGCAAAUCCACCCAUAACAUGCAGUAGGUUUUUUUUUUAUAUAUAAAUUUUUAUAUUUAAAAUCACAAAUAUUAAAAAAAUUAUAUUUAAUAAUUUGAAUUAUAUAAUUCAAAAUAUAACUUUAUAGUAACAGCCAAAAAAAUCUACAUAAAUUACUUAAUUUUAGAUUUUACCAAUGUAAAAGAGAAAUUAAAGUUUCAAUAUUAAAACAAAUACACAAAAUAUAUCAUUCUACCACAAAAUAUUUUUGUUGUAGGCAAAUAAUCAUUACUAAGAUUAAUGUCUUGCCCUAUCUUUUAGUUAAUAUACAAGUAUUGUCAACAAUAUUACCAAAUAUAUUUUGGACAACUAUUGACCAUUAAUUAGACAAAUAAAAAUCCAAUCUUAACCAGCAAUCACUAAGUUCGGGUCAUUAAAGCCAAACAAACAAAAGUAAUUAAAUUAAAUUAAAUUAAAAUAUCAUUAAUAUUAAACUUGAAAAACACUAAAUCUACUUAUUAAAAGUUUAUUUUUUGUGUGUGUGCGUGUGUAUACAUUUACAUACAUACAUACAUACUUGAAGGAGUAGGGUGUGCAACUGUAAUGAGUUAGUUUAGGUUUAGGAAUUUGGAAUAUUAGAGUAAUAACUUUAACUACUAUAUUUUUAUGAUUAAAUUUUUUUAAGACAAUCUUUCUGACUAAAAUAAAAGACAUAAAUAAUUAAAAAAAUGCUAGUCGGCAGACACCCGCCAAAUUUUUUCUCAAUACUAAAUCUAUCCGUAACCUGCAACGAACUUAAAUUUAAAAUACCGAACUUAUCCGUAACCUCCAAAAUUAUUCGCAGUGGACAGAUUUUUGUAGAUGGGUUUAGACAAAUUUACAUAUUUACGACUAAUUUUGCCGUCCUAAUGCGAUCGGCUAGAGGAUAGCGGUUUGCUAUUGUUCUUUAGUUCUAUAUACAAGAUAUGUCAAUGUAUUUUUGAACAACUUGCGAGAGAUAACUUCAAAUUUAUUUGCAAUCAUACUAUCACAUGAUGUGAAUUAAAUUUUGUCAGAUACGAAAGAGAAAUUGGCCCAAAAAAAAGGAGGAUUAGUGAAGUAAUUAAUAACAAUUUAUCUUGACAAUAAAAGUUUUUAUUAAAAAGUUGAUGUACAAAGAGAAAUUAUUAUGGGUCGAAAAAAAACCCAGCGUCAAAUAAAAGUUGAUGUACAAAGAGAAAUCUACUCCUCCAGCCUGGCCGACUUUUACCGCCUAAUAUUAUAUGAAUUUAUUGAAAGCUGUAAAUUACAAAAAUGAAACUGUAAGUUACCUCCGUCAAUUCCACAAAUUAAAUAAUAGGGGACUGAUAAGAUUUAAAAAAAAAAUCAUGGGUCCUGUUAUAAGAUUCACGAACUAAAUAACAGGUCCUCUAUGAUCAGGUGAUUAUUUUUAAAAAAAUGUAUUUAAAAAUAAUUUAGUCCAAUUUUUUUUAUAACAAAUUAUAUUUGCGUCCAAUGUGAACACAUGCACAAAAGGCAAAUGUCUUGUUGAUUAAUUGAUAUAUGGUCAAUUGAUCAUCAUGCAUGACGCAAAGGUCUUAAAUGUAAAACAAAUGGCAAAAUUUUGAUUAAUUAUUGUAUGGUUAUCUCUGACUGGUUGACCAAAUUAUUGAUCUCAUUGGCUAGCGUUUUAAAUUAGGAAUUGUGUCCACUUAUUUGAGUUUUAAAAAAUCUUUAUAACAUGUAUGAACUUUUAUUUAUUUCCGGUCAAAAUUUAUUUUUACUUAAUAACUACCAAUCACAUAAUUAUAUUUUUUUAUAUAAAAUUUUUUAUCAGGAGAAAAUAAUAUCCUUUAAAUUAACCUCAAAAUGCGGUUGCACACAGCGUAAAAAAAUAUUUAAUUAAAGUCAUCGCACUAGUUCUUUGAAUUCAUCAUUAAUCGUUUUAUUAAUGGAAAAUUGAAGCUUUCUGCUCAAGAAAGUGCAUACCAUAAAUCACUAUAAAUUCAGAAACAUGUGUAAUGAGUUAUCAGCUAUACUCAAGAUCGACCAAAAAACCUGAUAUUCAAAUUCAAUCUAAGAAUUAUCAUGGCUGAAGUGAAGCUUCAUGGGGCACUGCUGAGUCCAUUUGUUUACAGGGUGAUUUGGGCUCUGAAAUUGAAAGGCGUGCCGUAUGAAUUUGUUGCAGAAGAUCUCUCAAACAAAAGUGCUUUGCUUUUGAAGCACAAUCCGGUUCACAAGAAGAUCCCAGUGCUUGUCCAUGGCGGAAAACCAGUUUGUGAGUCCAUGGUUAUUCUCGAAUACAUCGAAGAGACGUGGCC